AAAAUUUUAGUUUAAAUAAAAAUAUUUCAUUUACAAUGAGAAGUUUAAUUUGUAAAUUAAAAUUUUA
Molecule: transfer RNA, 67 nt
Filed under: Bombus hypocrita sapporensis (Sapporo bumblebee)
Lineage: Eukaryota; Metazoa; Arthropoda; Insecta; Hymenoptera; Apidae
Description: tRNA-Val
Source: RNAcentral